UACUGUCUUGUAGACCGAGAGACGACUUCCAUCUAUAAAAGGAGAGAGAAGAUGGGCUUUCAUGAGGUCGAGAUGGUCUUAUCCCAAACGUCAGUCGUAGGGUUUGGACCACUGCUACUCCAUUUCUUUUGUCUCACCUUCUUCACCUCUCUUCUUUACUCUUGUUGUUUCUCUUGUUCUUUUCCUCUCUGUCUCUCUCUCUCUUACACUUAUAAUUUCACGUAUAAUUGCGAUCCAGACUCUGUUUGCUUCUUCCAAAUCUAUAGGGUUGAGAGAGAUGACAAAUCAGGAAGUUUUUCUUUGAGGGGAAUGUUGUCUGGCUCGAGGACACUUUCGACUCACCUCUCUGUGGAAGAGACCUCGGACCAGGCUUCAUUCCCCCCAAUCACAGCUUCCGUCUCCACCAACUCACUGCAUAUGUUUGAAUCGCAGAUCUGCAGCACAACAUUUCACCUCUUCUCCAUCCCCAAGACAGAAGAAGAACAUCGAGCAAAAGACACCAUAGGAAAAUGAGCCAUAAAGCUAAUGCCGACAGUACUUGCAGAUAGCUGUUUAAUCACAGUACAUGAGUAGGUCCUGCGGUCAAACAUGUUAGGGUUAGAGAGAAACAAGCUUAGUGGUGUCGUUCACCGGCAACCUUGUCCUAUUGGUGUAUACACCAUGGGAAUAUGGUGAUGGCAACCUCUCUCUCUCUUUGGCAGGAAGCUCUCGACUCUUGCUCGCUCCUUCUCUUACCAUCAGGCAUGUUCUUGGGAUGGGGAGUGAUGCCUUUUGUGCGUUGGGGAAUAUGAGCUUUAUCUUGGAUUUUGAUAUGCUUUAUUAUGGGAGUCUCACGUCCACAACUUUCCAUGGCUGAUUGCAACUCUUCACACUUGGAUGGGAAUAGGAAUGUUAGAUCGUGCACACACACAAGAAAAGGAAAACAAGUGGCACUGUGAUGCUUGGCUUGCUUUUUCCUUCUUCUUCUUCUUCUUCUUCUUCAUCUUCUUCAUCUUCUCUACAGACACUGAAGGAUGUGGAAAAGAAUGAAGGUUCUGCCUGUUUUGACUUCACAGUGACUUGCUUUAACACUAUCAUGUGUUCCUGAGAUUUCUUGUACUUGCUAUGUUAGCUAAUUCAUGUUCUAAGCCUUGACAAUUUGGAUCUCUUUAUAAUUCUCGAUGACUCAGCUAUCAUGAUCUAUUAUUCUCUUCUCGCA
This is a long non-coding RNA of Musa acuminata AAA Group (dessert banana), 1198 nucleotides long. RefSeq lists it as uncharacterized. The record is from RefSeq and is a predicted model, not a curated record. The transcript has 2 exons. Lineage: Eukaryota; Viridiplantae; Streptophyta; Magnoliopsida; Zingiberales; Musaceae.